This 468-nucleotide ribosomal RNA is filed under the name uncultured bacterium. Its description in RNAcentral is "partial 16S ribosomal RNA". It matches the Rfam family "Bacterial small subunit ribosomal RNA", at positions 28 to 507 of the family's 1533-position model. The record is from RNAcentral.
GACGAACGCUGGCGGCGUGCUUAACACAUGCAAGUCGAACGGAAAGGCCCUGCUUUUGUGGGGUGCUCGAGUGGCGAACGGGUGAGUAACACGUGAGUAACCUGCCCUUGACUUUGGUAUAACUUCAGGAAACUGGGGCUAAUACCGGAGAGGAGCUCCUGCUGCAUGGUGGGGGUUGGAAAGGUUCGGCGGUUGGGGAUGGACUCGCGGCUUAUCAGCUUGUUGGUGGGGUAGUGGCUUACCAAGGCUUUGACGGGUAGCCGGCCUGAGAGGGUGACCGGCCACAUUGGGACGGAGAUACGGCCCAGACUCCUACGGGAGGCAGCAGUGGGGAAUAUUGCACAAUGGGAGGAAGCCUGAUGCAGCAACGCCGCGUGCGGGAUGACGGCCUUCGGGUUGUAAACCGCUUUCGCCUGUGACGAAGCGUGAGUGACGGUAAUGGGUAAAGAAGCACCGGCUAACUACGUG